This 474-nucleotide ribosomal RNA is filed under the name uncultured bacterium. RNAcentral describes it as "SSU rRNA". It matches the Rfam family "Bacterial small subunit ribosomal RNA", at positions 26 to 518 of the family's 1533-position model. The record is from RNAcentral.
AGAUUGAACGCUGGCGGCAUGCUUUACACAUGCAAGUCGAGCGGCAGCGCGGGGGCAACCCUGGCGGCGAGCGGCGAACGGGUGAGUAACACAUCGGAACGUAUCCCGUAGAGGGGGAUAGCCCGGCGAAAGCCGGAUUAAUACCGCAUAUGCUCUACGGAGGAAAGUGGGGGACUCGCAAGGGCCUCACGCUAUGGGAGCGGCCGAUGGCCGAUUAGCUAGUUGGUGGGGUAAAGGCCUACCAAGGCGACGAUCGGUAGCUGGUCUGAGAGGAUGAUCAGCCACAUUGGGACUGAGACACGGCCCAAACUCCUACGGGAGGCAGCAGUGGGGAAUAUUGGACAAUGGGCGAAAGCCUGAUCCAGCCAUGCCGCGUGAGUGAUGAAGGCCCUAGGGUUGUAAAGCUCUUUUGUGCGGGAAGAUAAUGACGGUACCGCAAGAAUAAGCCCCGGCUAACUUCGUGCCAGCAGCCGC